Molecule: ribosomal RNA, 59 nt
Filed under: Ficus macrophylla subsp. columnaris
Lineage: Eukaryota; Viridiplantae; Streptophyta; Magnoliopsida; Rosales; Moraceae
Description: partial 28S ribosomal RNA
Source: RNAcentral
CCACGCGACCCCAGGUCAGGCGGGGCUACCCGCUGAGUUUAAGCAUAUCAAUAAGCGGA